GUGUUAUCCCAGGAGGCUGCCUUCGCCAUCGGUGUUCCUCCGCAUAUCUACGCAUUUCACUGCUACACGCGGAAUUCCACCUCCCUCUGACACACUCUAGCCCGGUAGUUAAAAAUGCAGUUCCAAAGUUAAGCUCUGGGAUUUCACAUCUUUCUUUCCGAACCGCCUGCGCACGCUUUACGCCCAGUAAUUCCGAUUAACGCUUGCACCCUACGUAUUACCGCGGCUGCUGGCACGUAGUUAGCCGGUGCUUAUUCUGCAGGUACCGUCAGUUUCGCGGGGUAUUAACCCGCGACGUUUCUUUCCUGCCAAAAGUGCUUUACAACCCGAAGGCCUUCAUCGCACACGCGGGAUGGCUGGAUCAGGGUUUCCCCCAUUGUCCAAAAUUCCCCACUGCUGCCUCCCGUAGGAGUCUGGGCCGUGUCUCAGUCCCAGUGUGGCUGGUCGUCCUCUCAAACCAGCUACGGAUCGUCGCCUUGGUGAGCCGUUACCCCACCAACUAGCUAAUCCGAUAUCGGCCGCUCCAAUAGUGCAAGGUCUUGCGAUCCCCUGCUUUCCCCCGUAGGGCGUAUGCGGUAUUAGCUACGCUUUCGCGUAGUUAUCCCCCGCUACUGGGCACGUUCCGAUACAUUACUCACCCGUUCGCCACUCGCCACCAGACCGAAGUCCGUGCUGCCGUUCGACUUGCAUGUGUAAGGCAUCCCGCUAGCGUUCAAUCUGAGCCAGGAUCAAACCCUC
This 738-nucleotide ribosomal RNA is filed under the name uncultured bacterium. Its description in RNAcentral is "partial 16S ribosomal RNA". The record is from RNAcentral.